GACUGAAUUUCUGCACUUUGCAGGAAUCAUUUACUGAAACUAAAAGAACAAAUUGUGUAUUAAUUGGGAUGAUUAAGAAACUCGACCUAUCUCGUCCUCCCGUCUCUUGAGAGAUAGGUGAUGUCGCUUUCAACUUGAUCGGUGUCUCAUUGUGUGAGGUAUUAUUCAUUUUGGCUUUAGAGUUCAUUUGCAUUCUCAAUUGGAAUUGUGAUUCUCAUAGACAUCGCUAAGUGAUGUGGCUUGCGACUCGAUCGGUAUCCCAUUGUGUGAGGUAUAUCACUAAAAGGAUGAGGCUUUGAGGUCUAUAAGUCACCCAAGUUCCUCGUCAGCAACCAACGUGGGACUUGCCAAAUGAUGUGUUUGCGACUUGAUUAGGGUUCCGUUGCACAAGAUAUUGUCCGCUUUAGUUUUUGUAUAGACCUCAGGAUUUUGUCCUGAAAAUACAACUUGCUAAAAAGAUGAGUUGUUGAUGUUUGUAAGUCGAGCAAGCUUCUCGUCUGCAACAAAUAUGGGAUUUACCAAAUAAUAUGGUUUGCGA
This is a non-coding RNA of Sesamum indicum (sesame), 538 nucleotides long. The record is from RefSeq and is a predicted model, not a curated record. Lineage: Eukaryota; Viridiplantae; Streptophyta; Magnoliopsida; Lamiales; Pedaliaceae.